UUAACUUCUUCAUCAUCGAUCAUUAUGCGAGCACUAUUAACAAGAAUGCAACAACUAACAUGCAACAUACCGAUGCAGUAACAAAACAGCAAGCAUUUCAAAUAAACAAUGAUAGCAUGCGAAACAUAGCAAUACCAAGAACUAGCAAAACUUAUCAGUGCAACAGAAUUAUCAUAGCAUCGUUACUACUAACAUGAACUAAACUAGACAGAGGCAUGAUAUUAUCAGUAACAACAACAAACUAGCAUGUCAACUAUUUCAUGAGAGCACAAACAUGCAAGACAGAUAACAAAAGCAUAUAGCACGAAUGAAAUGACAACAGACGGAACAAACAAGAAACUACUGCAACUAAACACACACACGAGGUGCAAGCAAAGUCAACAUGCAAGUUCAGGGCUCAUUAUAAGAGGUUGGCUUGCCUCGGGUCGAGAAAUACUUCGGGAAAAAUGUGGAAUGAUCGCGGAAAGAUUUGCCAGAAAUAGUUCUCUCUAGGAGGGGGCUGUUCACGGGCAAGGGUAAAGUGGUCAUUUUCACUGUGUGAAAACAUAAUGAAAAUGAUACCAAUGGAAAGAGUUCGAUGAGACGAAGACGUGAGCGUUGGUUUCACAUCAAUCGGAGUUACGGUUGUCGAGAUACGCAGGGUUGAAGUUCAGGGACCUAUCGGUGAAAGUUUUCCAGCAAACAGGCCCCUGGAGGAAAAACUGAACGCGCCUUUCUCAGAAAUAUGCUUUCCAGAGAGGAAAGCGCAUUCUGGCCCGAAGAGGAAGCGAAUACGCUUUCGGUUAAGGGAAGCGCAUUUUCGGGAGUACGUGGUCACUUAUCCACGUCAGCGCCUGGGGUCAACCCCUAGUGCGACUGACGGGUGGGCCUUGCGGAGGUGGGACCCGCCUGGCUUGCGUCUUCAACCUCCCGCUCGCACGCCCGCCGGGAAGAGGGAGGUUCUCUCCUCGACGGCGAUAGCCGGCGCAUCCGGCCACCGCUCGCGACGGCCGACCUACCCACGGGUUCAGGAGCGAGAGGCGCAUCCCGUGGUGUUGUCAGCUGCCGUCGAGGGGCACUAGGGAAGGAGCAGCAAGGUGGGCGGCGGAGCAGGGCUUCGGCCUCCGGCGAACAGGGGGCUCCGGUGGGGAAUGGGGUGGGCAAGGCAACGGGGAGGCUCACCGGACCCUGGGGAAGGCAGUGGUGGAGGUGGAGCGGCGAGAGGGGAGCGGCAUCGCCGGAAUCGAGCGGAGCCCAAGGCGGCGGCCGUGGCAAUGGGGAGGGGUCAGAGAGCUCCUCGAGCUCGAGCUAGAGGUUCGGGGGGGCUUGUGGACUGCGAGGGGCUCGGGGGCGGGCUUAAAUAGACGUGGGGAAGGCUCGAGGGGGAGGGGAUGAGGUGACACGCGGCAGGCGACGUGUCCGUGCGCCGGCGAUGGCCAUGCGCGGCCAAGGCUCACGGGAAGCAACGGGAAGGCGACGAGGGGGAUGCGGACGACGCGCGGGAGGACAAGAGGGGGAAACGGACAGGAGCGAGGAAACGACGACGAGCUCACGGAUAGGGACGGUUCACCGACGGUGACGGCUCGUCGAGGAAGCAAACGAAGGGGAAACGGGCCAAGACGCACGGCGAGGAUGAGGCUGAGUUGGUUGACAAGGUUGGACGAGCCAAAGCCAGCCGGAGCUGCGCCACUGUGGCCAACAGCGGCGAGACCAACGAUUUGGCCUGCAUAGCCCCAUGGUCACCACCGACUUUGCGCUCUCUAGUCGUCAACUAAGGGCCAAACCUUGUCUACAGCGUAGUCCUUCCAAAGCUCAUUAAGACUUAGGUGAUGGCACAGGCAGAGGUGUAGAGAGCAGAGGGAACCAAGCUCGACAAGUUUGCUGUUGCAAACUUGGCCACAUCUUGGUGAUCAAACCAGAGAGGUUAAGGGCGAAGAUUGAUGUCCUGGAGGUUUAAGCUAGCAAGGACUACGGUCCUGGGAAGUUGGAGGGGAUUUGGACAAAGAUUUAGCAUAGUUGUAGUGCAACGGCCAAAUCUGGUCCAGAAACCAAAUGAUGAAGGAGCACUCACUAGGAGUGUUGGAUUGGGCUAAAACUUGGCAAAGCUUCCUAAUUUGGUCAUAUAAUGAUGCUGUAAAAAUAUCAUACCAAAUGGACUUGCCAAAUUGGUACUUUUUUCACAAGCAUCACAUCUGACCAGAAACUUUGGAAAAAUCCAGGGAAAUAUUGGCUACAUGAAAUGAGCCAAAAGUUGGUCUAGGUGGGUUAUUUGGAUAGGAGAAGAAUUGGGAAUAUUUUCAGCCAUAAUGGAGCAAGAUAAAAUGUACUUGCUUCACAAACUGAAAAUUUGGACAGAAACCAAGAAUUGCUCCUGUGCUCACAUAGUUCAAUGAAUUGAACUGAAUUUAGGUGGAGGCUAAUGAUUUGGAAUACUUGAGAAGAUGGAAAAGUUUCAUCCCAUUUGGAAACUCUAUGAAGGUACUUCCUUCACAAGCAUGCCAUCUGGUCAGAAACUUUGAAAAAUUGCACAGGGAGCUAGGAUGAAUGGAUUGAGCUCAUCUUUGGUAUCCAUGGGUGAUUUAUCAAGGUUAAUCACCUUGCCAAAUUGCAGCUCAAUUGGAAUUAGGAAUAAAGCACUUCCUUUGCAAAAAUUUCAAAGAGGGCAGAAACUUGCAUUGGAUCAUGUGCUCAAAUUAUGAUCUUUGGAACAUGGGUUUGGAUGGAACUAGUGAUUAUAUAGCAAGGACAAGCUCCACAAUUUAUGUGAGAAUUUUCCCUGCUAUAAAAAUAGUAGUUCCUUUAGAAAGUGGCAGAAAUGCAAUAUUGGUAUUAAAUAGGAAAAUGCAGUUUUCCAUAUUUAAUUAUGGCCAAUAUCUUUGCCAGAGCUUGGAUUAGGCAUAAAUAUCAACUCCACCAAUUCUCAUGAAUUUAGGAGAUGGCUAGCUAUGCCUUUGGAUUUUAUUCCUCAGAAAGGCAAGAAAAGGAAUAAAUCAUAAUUCAAAAAUAUUGCAUGGGACUUAGCAAUAUUUUUGCAUAUCCAAGGAUUAGUAGGAUAGGAGGGUCUCCAGGAAUAGAUGGGACGAUCAACAGAUUGAGGAAAAUGAUGGCUCCUUUGUAUUCACAAAGGGCACAUUCAAAUUCCAAAGAUUGGAACUAGGGUUUGAAAGGAUUUGAGAUGAUGCAAAAGAGGUCUUGCCCACUGACAAAGACAUGAGCAAGGUUUUGAAAGGUUGGAAAUGGCAAAAGUUUCUCAGAGUCAUCCAGCAAACUCAGGAGGAAAUUUUGAAAAUGAGUGCCAGGAAGGAAUAACAGCUCAAAAAUUGAUAACCCAAUUUUGGGGUUGUUACAAACCUUCCCCCCUUAAAAAGAAUCUCGUCCUCGAGAUUCCUAGGGUUACAGCACAAAUGAAAGGGUAACCACUCCGGGGAAAAACCUCGGGGUUAAUUUUAACCCUUUGGUUGGAUUCGAAAGAGUUGGGGGCACCGAUAAUUGGUACACCCGGAGAGAUAUGGGCAAACACGGUUAAAAAUCCACGGCUAGGGCACUCGAGAUCAGACUCUCGAAAAAUUGCUAGAUGCACCCUAGUGAAUAGUGGAUUCACCUGCUGACACGUGGGUCCAGGGCCCACUGGCAGCCUCCUUCUUCUACCUCCGGCUAGCUGCUUCUUCGGUGAUGCUGCUUCGUGUGCGGCUUAGCGCAGUGCGCAUCUAGCCCCUAGGGCGAUGAGGACCCUAGUGUCGUAGUGCGCGGCAUGCACGGCGCCGGUGCAGCGAGCACUCACGUUGCGGGCCAGCACCUUGUCGGCACUGCGCGGAUUCGCCUCCUGGAUGCCGGUGAUCGAGCGACGAGUGGUUCUCGUGGACCUCGCUCAUCGUACACCGGGGUUGGGCUAUGAAAGACGGCAGCGCGGCUCUCCUCCAACGCACAAACACAAUGCCGCUCUACUACCUCUUCGGUUUGGGCGAGAUCGAGCCGAGCUCCUUCGGCGAGGAGGUGUUCUUGGUGGCGCUGCGGUGAUUCCUAGCUGCGCUGCUGGGCACGCUGAUUGGCUCGUCGAUCAUCCUGCUGACGAUCAUCAGGUACGAGCGAGCUCGAGGCAACGCGCGGCCAGCUGCGGUGGCUUGAGGUGUGGAAGAAGAUGGUGCACGGGGUGGUCCUCCGCCACGCUUGAUUCUCCGACGCUUCGUGCCGGCGGAGUAAUCGCGUGCUGCGGGGGAGCGGUGGUGGCGACUCGGCUGCGCUACCCUAGGCAGUGAUGGUGCGGGUGGUGGGGUCCAGAUGCAGGUGAGGUGACUGCGCCAGCUCAGCAUCACACUGGGGUACAAGGAAGAUUUCGUGGAUUGCUCCACGAAAAAGUAGGUGUCGAGGUAGAAUCGGAGUUGAAAUCUGUAUUGUGGUAGAUGUACUGGAUUGAAUGAAAUAAAGUUGGCAGCGUUCCUCCGGAAAUGAAAUCGGGAAAAAGAAUUGGAGACAAGGAACUGCCAGACGGAAAUGCCUCUGCGAGGCUCUGGUUUUGGAAAAUCUGGCACACGGGGUAUGCACAGAUAGAGAUAGGGAUGCGUGACUUUGCUUUCCCCCGAGUACUGCCCGAAUGUACUCGUGGGUGAACCGGGUAUGCAUGCAGUAUGCAGUACACACAAACUAACAAACAAACCAAUGCAACAAACAUGCAAUGCAAACACAACAGACAAAUCAUUCUAAGGUGUUUUAAUGCUAGUGGGUAUAUGUAAUCCUGGCAUACAUAUACCUACACCAGCGCGCAUUUUAUUAAAGACUCGGGACGAGCCAAUGUUGUUUUUAGUGUAUGUGCUCUACUGAUUAAAGUCUUGUUAGCAACACAUUGCCAACCCUGUCAAACAUCUCUGCUUGACAGAGAGACAAACAAGCGCGAAAACAAAAGCACGAAAACACACACAGCAUACGGAUUACAGCAUACAACAAAGCACGAACGCUCUACGCGCUAAACGAAAUUACUUACUCCGGGAUACACAGUUCUAUCCUCAUAUCGAGGAUGAACCGACAGACCGACCUACUCGCAGAAACACCUAACUGCGUGACUGAGGUCAUGCAGAGGGCUGGCCUUGCUGGGGCUCUCCGGGAGGACGAAGACUGAGCCAAUCUCCAUCUUCAUCGUCUGACGGCACUAUGGGUUGGGGUUCGACUACUGGGGGUGUGGCUGAAAUCGAUCCAAGCAAAUGCUGCUCGUGGAUCCGUAAAAGAGCCUUGUCGAGGGUGACGAUGUUUGGUCUAGGCCACAACACAGGCUAAGAGGGUAGCAUUGGUUCGGAUGGCAUGGGGUGGAUGGCUUGAGAUGCGAAUUUACGAGCCUCACGAUAAGCUUCCUUGACAACUCGUACCGCAUCGUUGUCCAGGGUUCUAAACUCGGCAAGCAUCUUGGAAAUCAUCAUCCCCUGGGCAGUGAUAUACUGCACCAGGCGAGCGAUUGCGGGGUCAUCUCCUUGGAUAGUGGGAGAAGGCUGAAUUCCCGCUUCUGCCACAAUGGGGAAAAAGCAGAACUCCCGCCUUUGUGCCACUUGCGGAAACUUGGUUUGGAGGUAUAGGGUGGCCUCCACGGCAGCGGCCUGAAUGGCUAAAUCAGCGGUAGGCAUGGCUCUACCCUGAAAAACCAAAGGCUGGCCAUCUACUGCGGGACCUGGGCUGAUGUGCACUCUUGCAUCAUAGCGAUGAAGGUGAGGGACGGGUGUCGACUGGAACACCAGGUAAUCAGGGCUAGCCUUACAACCAAAGGCUUUGGUGAGCAUCUCGGUAAGAAGGGGUGGAAAGCCAGUGUGGUUGAUGGCAAAGGUGCGGCUGUGAAACUUGGGAGCUUUGAAGGUGCUAGCCAUGGCUGGGGUGUUACUAGCGAGGCUUCUCUACAAGGACAUGGCUGAUUGAGGGGUGAACGAUACGGCUAGCGGAAAGGGGGCUUUUAUAGGCAGCUAUGCCGGACAUGACCGCAUGGUGUGGCUCCCUUUCCUUAAUGGCGAAGGGCAUGCGGUGCGGCCGACCGGAAAAGAUAGGGUUGCUAUUCAAUCCACGGAUAACUAGGCGGGGACAGUGGGGUGAGGACGUGUCGGUCCCGACUGCGCCACCUGUUGACUAACAGUGGCCAUGCCGGAUGCCACGGAUGGGUCUAAUCUCUUAGGGCCAUUACGGUUUAAUGGUAGAGGUGAUCUAAUGCUAGGAUAACCUAUGCCAGCCUGGCUGCUCUGAUACCAUCUCCUGUGGCACCCCGAUCCGCAUGGAGCAGGGGGCCUUCGCACGUCAGCCCAGGAUUACGCCUGACGCACGAUAGGUCCAUGAUACAGCAUUCCAGGUACAAUAAUAUUCAUCAAGUACAUGUGUAUAUGAUUACAUCAUUGAUGAAUACAAUUAUCUGGCAUAGCCCUAAGGCUAUACGGAUGGCAGCGGAAGUCUAUUUAAAUGGCGGCGGAAUUCUUGGUUUGGCAGCGUCUCAUCUAGGCUGGGCUCCACAACUCACAGGACUGGCAAGAUUACGGCCUAGCACGACGAAACAAACGAACGAGUAGGGCACGACCUACAAAACUGGCAUGACACGCCAGGUCAGUACAUUGAAUGUACUUGCAAGACAACCAAAUACAUAGCAUCCAAACAAACAGAUGACAAAGCAAGAACCAAGCAUAUGAAACAACCUACCUCAUAGCAGAAACUAAGCAUGGCAAUGGCAUAUCAAACUUACUUCUAACAUGGCUACCGCAAAGCAUAACAUAUCAAAACAUGGCAUACCAAAGCAUGGCAUAAAUUCAGUCAAAGCAUGGCAUGGCAUCAUGAAACACUGCUGAAAAUAAACUACCAGUCAUAUCCGAUGCAAACAUAACAUGUUAACUUUAUGCAACCAUCUACUGUUCUACCAUAGUUCCUUAAAGGCAAAUAACACUUACUACUCGUGCAAUGCAAACAAAAUGUGCAUCGAGUCCCUCGGACUCUCUUACCAGUGGGUUGCCUCGCAAUCAAACGAUGAUCAUGCACGGAUCACCAACGGAACCACACUUGGUUCAACACUCACCGAGACCCAUGUCUCAUGAUCAUACCAACUCAUCAUCGUGAUUACUCACGACUGUCUCACAGUCCAAGUCACCACAUUAUUUCACAUUAUUCAUAUUCUUAGUUAUAUUAGGUUUAUCCUCCAUUUCUAUCGAGACCUGAUAGUGUGACCUACUACGAACUUGUGCCCAUGACCGAGGACGCGGCUAUCGAUAGAUUUAACACACACACUCUGCAGAGGUAGCGCAUUGUACCCACACCACGAAACCCAUGGCCUCGCACUCCCAUUCGGGUGGACCAACGGCAUUCCGACAAAAGCGAUCUAUUGCCAUGACACUCUCCCGGCCACUCCGACCAACACCCCUUUUGGGUUCAGUCCUGGGUGGGCCAUGCCUACCAAAGGUCUUACGGCCACCGUCGUGGCAAAAACGGCCCCAAACGGGGACAAAGCGCGCAAAACAACUCGGGCUCACAAGGUUCAUGUCCGCCUACCUGAUCAGGGUAGCGCGUGCCCAUAACCUUCCCUACGUUGGAGGCACCGGCGAGAGGCAUGACAAUAGACCUGUUAGGGCCUUCCCAUUCCAAGGCAAAUGUGGCUGCACUGGAAAAAGCCCGAUUUGGUGGCACUAUGACAUCCCAGUGAUGACGGAGGAGGUUUGUUAUCCAGUCAUAUUAUUAACUUCUCCAUCAUCGAUCAUUAUGCGAGCAUUAUUAACAUGAAUGCAACAACUAACAGGCAACAUACCGAUGCAGUAACAAAAUAGCAAGCAUUUCAAAUAAACAAUGAUAGCAUGCGAAACAUAGCAAUACUAAGAACUAGCAAAACUUAUCUGUGCAACAGAAUUAUCAUAGCAUUGUUACUACUAACAUGAACUAAACUAGACAGAGGCAUGAUAUUAUCAGUAACAACAACAAACUAGCAUGUCAACUAUUUCAUGAGAGCACAAACAUGCAAGACCGAUAACAAAAGCAUAUAGCACGAAUGAAAUGACAGUAGACAGAACAAACAAGAAACUACUGCAACUAAACACACACACGAGGUGCAUCAACAUGCAAGUUCGGGGCUCAUGAUAAGAGGUUGGCUUGCCCGGGGUCGAGAAAUACUUUGGGAAAAAGUGUGGAAUGAUCGCGGAAAGAUUUGCAGGAAACAAUUCUCUCUCGGAGGGGGCUGUUCACGGGCAAGGGUAAAGUGGUCAUUUUCACUGUGUGAAAACAUAAUGAAAGUGUUACCAACAGAAAUAGUUCGACGAGACGAAGACGUGAGCGUUGGUUUCACCUCAAUCGGAGUUACGGUUGUCGAGAUACGCAGGGUUGAAGUUCAGGGACCUAUUGGUGAAUGUUUUUCAGCAACCAGGCCCCUGGAGGAAAAACUGAACGCGCCUUUCUCAGAAAUACGCUUUCCAGAGAGGAAAGCGUAUUCUGGCCCGAAGAGGAAGCAAAUACGCUUUCGGUUAAGGAAAGCGCAUUUUUGGGAGUACGUGGUCACUUAUCCACGUCAGCGCCUGGGGUCAACCCCUAGUGCGACUGACGGGUGGGCCUUGCGGAGGUGGGACCCGCCUGGCUUGCGUCUUCAACCUCCCGCUCGCACGCCCG
This 8577-nucleotide long non-coding RNA is filed under the name Triticum aestivum (bread wheat). Its description in RNAcentral is "long non-coding RNA (TAES_LNC019473)". The record is from RNAcentral. Lineage: Eukaryota; Viridiplantae; Streptophyta; Magnoliopsida; Poales; Poaceae.